AGCCUUAGGAAUUGAUCUAAGGUUAGACCUGCCCAAUGUGUAAUUUAUUAAUGGCCGCGGUACUUUGACCGUGCUAAGGUAGCGCAAUCAGUUGGCUCUUAAUUAGGGUCAGGUAUGAAUGGAUAUACGGGGCUUAUCUGUCUCUAAAUUAAUUAUUUGAAGUUACUAUAUAGGUGAAAAAGCCUGUUAAUAGAAAAAAGACGAGAAGACCCUUAGAGUUUCACUUAUUUAGAAUUUUACUAAUAACUAUAUUCUUAAUAGUUUUGUUGGGGCAACAUAGGAGUUACUCCCUCCUAAAUACUAUCAACCGAUUAUUUUAAACUUGAAUAAACUACCUUAGGGAUAACAGCAUAAUUUAUUAAUUAAGUUUGUGACCUCGAUGUUGGACUAGGAAUUUUUAAGGCUAGCCGUCUUU
This 415-nucleotide ribosomal RNA is filed under the name Diversidoris flava. Its description in RNAcentral is "partial 16S ribosomal RNA". It matches the Rfam family "Archaeal large subunit ribosomal RNA", at positions 1920 to 2635 of the family's 2987-position model. Lineage: Eukaryota; Metazoa; Mollusca; Gastropoda; Nudibranchia; Chromodorididae. The record is from RNAcentral.